This 1291-nucleotide long non-coding RNA is filed under the name Monodelphis domestica (gray short-tailed opossum). Its description in RNAcentral is "lncRNA (ENSMODG00000045483.1)". Lineage: Eukaryota; Metazoa; Chordata; Mammalia; Didelphimorphia; Didelphidae. The record is from RNAcentral.
AUGUGGAUCCUUCAGCUAGAAGUCCACAGUGCAGCCUCCUCCAAAGUCAUUCACCCAGCAAGCCAAUGUAGGAUCCAGGGAAAAAGUCUUCCAAAGCCCAGGAAAGGAAUCUCAGCCACUCUCUCCAAACUCCAGAAAAGGAAUGAUCCCUUAGACCAUGUUGGUCUCUUUUUAUAUCCCCUUUUCCAUGUUACUUCCUGUCUCUCCUCCUCUUCACAGAAACCAAUUUCAGCCUUUCAAUUUGCCCAGCACUGCCCAAGGUGGGAGACAGUGGCCUUUGGAGGUGUGAGCUUACUCUAUGCACUGAGCCUUAUAGGCCAAGAGCUAUCCUGUCAGCUGCUUAAGGACUUUUGAGGAAUGAAGAGACUGGAAGACAUGGGAUGGAAGUCAUUAAUCUACCAGAGUCAAACCAGAAACUCAGAAAUAUUUCUCUGCUUCAGUUACUAUGUGGGUACAUCAGGUAUGGUCAUAUUAUGUACACAGCCUGCCCCAAAGGGUAGAAAUACAGAGUUGGCAUGAAAAGGACAUAGUCAGCUACUUUUGUACCAUGAGUGAGAUCCAAGAACCACGUUAGAAGCUCAGUGAGCUCCUAGAUACCAGCUGACUCUAAUCUAAGGACAGAGAGGCACCCAGACACCAAGCCACAACACAGGACUUUGUAAACAAUGUUUCAUGCUUCACAACUCUAUUUGUACCCAUUAUCAUCUGUUUCCAAUGUAUGACUAAGUUUGAGACUUGCCAUGACCUGAGAAUUUCUGACAGAUGUCACUAGAAUGGUGCCUCUGUGGGUAGAUGGAAUUUAUUCAAAUUCUGACCCUUGUAAGAUACUUCUCCCUUGUAGUACUCUAGUGGCAGACCCUCAGACUUUUGUGUCUUAGCUGGUCAGGGUCAACUGGGUCCCAGAUUAACCUAAUGGAACCUGUGAUUGAGAAUAUGGAUCAGAUGGUCACUAAUAGGAACAACUACUGAAGAAAAGAGCACUUUGCAAAUUAUAUCCUCUCUACUUUCCUCUCUCUCUUCUUCCCACAGAGCAUCUAGCCUCAGCUCAACUUUUCUCUAUUAGAGAGAUAUAAAGUUUGGGGGUAGGGUGGGAAGAAUAGACUCUCUGCCAUCUUCUGGACUGCAUUAAGAUAACAGACCCAUUUACCCUGCUUUAGGUACACUACUCUUUUGGGGGCUAAAUUCUUGAGCCCAAUUAGAUCAUUUGGGUUUCUUUGCUAAUGAUUGUAUGCAAAUGACAUGAAUAUUAGAGAAUAAUAAAACAUAGUGGGGAGGGUAGUGGAAAGAGAGG